This 420-nucleotide long non-coding RNA is filed under the name Bos taurus (domestic cattle). Its description in RNAcentral is "long non-coding RNA NONBTAT015898". Lineage: Eukaryota; Metazoa; Chordata; Mammalia; Artiodactyla; Bovidae. The record is from RNAcentral.
UAGGUUGCACAAUAGAUUACUGAUAAGAUAUAUUUGAAACCUUGUUCAUAAAGUUGACAACAGACCUCAGUUCCAUGGUGAGGAAUUUGUUUUUUCUUAGGAUCUCUGAGGUAUAAAUGGUUAAGGAUUAUCUAGUGUAACCAUCCAUUUGAUAUGUGAUAGUGAUCAUACAGUUACUUUUGAAAUGUGAAGUUACUAUAUAUAUAAAUCUAUCAGUUAUUGUUGGCUCUUAUUUGGGCAGAAUUUCUGGCCUAUGGCAUUCCAUAAAUAAAAGGAGACUCUUUGUAUACUAUUACCCAUGUUAGAUCUUCAUAACAUUUACCUCCAAAGUCUAUUUUUCACAUGACUUUAUUCUAAUGAAUCUAUUUAAACUAUAUUACUCAGUUUCUAAUUAUGCCUAGUAAAUUUUGUGUGAGCUAA